GAUUGGCGAUAGAUCAUUCAAGUUUCUGACCUAUCAGCUUUCGACGGUAGUGUAUUGGACUACCGUGGCAGUGACGGGUAACGGGGAAUUAGGGUUCGAUUCCGGAGAGGGAGCCUGAGAAACGGCUACCACAUCUAAGGAAGGCAGCAGGCGCGCAAAUUACCCAAUCCUGACUCAAGGAGGUAGUGACAAGAAAUAACAACACUGGAAAUUUGAUUUCUAGUGAUUGGAAUGAUGGUGAAUCCAAACCCCUUUCAGAGUAACAAUUGGAGGGCAAGUCUGGUGCCAGCAGCCGCGGUAAUUCCAGCUCCAAUAGCGUAUAUUAAAGUUGUUGCAGUUAAAAAGCUCGUAGUUGGAUGUCUGUUGGAAGCAAUCAUCAGUCCGCCCUAUUUGAUUAGGGUGUGAAUAUGAUGAAUUCCGGCAUAAUUGUCUCCCUAUUGUUAAUAUUCUGAUUGUUAGAUUCAUUUCUAACAAUAAUACGAUUAUUAAUAAUAAGGGGGAAAUGUUACUUUGAGAAAAUUAGAGUGUUUGAAGCAGGCUUUUGUUGCCUUGAAUACUGCAGCAUGGAAUAACAAUAUAGGAUUUCGGUUCUAUUUUGUUGGUUCUUUUUUUAGGACUGAAAUAAUGAUUAAUAGGGACAGUUGGGGGCAUUCGUAUUUAACUGUCAGAGGUGAAAUUCUUAGAUUUGUUAAAGACGAACUACUGCGAAAGCAUUUGCCAAAGAUGUUUUCAUUAAUCAAGAACGAAAGUUAGGGGCUCGAAGACGAUCAGAUACCGUCGUAGUCUUAACCAUAAACUAUGCCGACUAGAGAUAGGAAAUUGUCAUUUUACUUGACUUCUCCUGCACCUUAUGAGAAAUCAAGGUGAAAUGUCAAUU
RNAcentral lists this ribosomal RNA (877 nucleotides) under Sarcocystis miescheriana. RNAcentral's name for it is "SSU rRNA". It matches the Rfam family "Eukaryotic small subunit ribosomal RNA", at positions 282 to 1113 of the family's 1831-position model. The record is from RNAcentral. Lineage: Eukaryota; Apicomplexa; Conoidasida; Eucoccidiorida; Sarcocystidae.